GCCAGGUCUAGCGGGAAGGGUGAGAAAAGAAAAUUUGUAUCCUCAUUGGCCAUAUGAUAAAACUCAACCGAUUGAUAGACGAUAGGCCCCUCCAUAUGAAAUAUGAAUCCCAUCAACUCGUGCAAAUGCAGAACAAUUGCAAAAUGACCUCCCAAAUAAAUCUAGCUUCCAGGAAGUGAGCAAGCUGCAAGCCUUUGGAACAAACAUAUUUUAUUUGGGAUCCCUGAAAAAACUCUAUAAUUCACAAGUAGCAUCCUUCUUAUUGAUCCAUUUCUCAUGCAUUCUUCCCAACAUUCUCCAAGCUGUCAAGCUUUCCUUGAGUGUUUAUUGAUCCAUUGGCCAUAAAUUGACCUCCUUGUUCAUACACCAGCAUAUAGAUGUUAAUUUUGUUCCACUAAUAUACACAUGUGCAAGGAAAUCAAAGAUCUCCUUAAGUAAUGAAAAUUUUGUUAGUACCUGAAAAUUAUAGAUCCUAUUAAAGACAGAAGAAUCAAAGAAAAAGAAAUUAAGGUGGAAAGAAGAGUG
This 525-nucleotide unclassified non-coding RNA is filed under the name Hevea brasiliensis (rubber tree). The record is from RNAcentral. Lineage: Eukaryota; Viridiplantae; Streptophyta; Magnoliopsida; Malpighiales; Euphorbiaceae.